Molecule: ribosomal RNA, 1251 nt
Filed under: Triticum aestivum (bread wheat)
Lineage: Eukaryota; Viridiplantae; Streptophyta; Magnoliopsida; Poales; Poaceae
Description: partial small subunit ribosomal RNA
Source: RNAcentral
GUCGGUGGAGGGAGGGUCGCUACACGGCGUGGAGGGAGGCUACGCCGCGCGGGGAUGGACGGGGUGGAAUAGGCCACUACGGCGGGUGGUGGUGGAGGGAGGGGCACGGUGCGGGGUGGAGGGAUGGGUGGAAGAGGCCGCGCCGCGUAUGGGACGGGUGGAAGAGUCAACCGCGGCGGAGGGAAGAGGUGAUGCGGCGGGGUAGGGCGCCGCGGCCCGAGGGGGGGAGGACGCGGUGCGGCGAAAGGAGGAGCGCGGCGGCGCGGUCGGGGGAGGGCGUGGCGGCCCGGCGGGGCGAGGGCGCGCCGCGGUGAAGGGAGGAGCGGCGGAGGGAGGGCGGCGCGCGGCGGCGUGGUCAAUGUGGUGGCGGGGGCUGCCUAGGGCAGCUGGGGUCUCUGGUGGCCGCACUACCUCGGGGGGGUUGGGGUGGCAGGGCUGCCUAGGAACGCGGGAGCUUAGCCCGGCUCGGACCGUGGGUGCCUAGGUCGGCUCGGAGCACAGAGGCCGGUAGAAGGAACGACCUAGGUCCCUCCUAGGACGACGCGGCAGCGCGGGGAAGGGGACGACGCGGCGGCGUGGGCCUAGGUCAGUUGGAGGUCGGCCACGGGUGGUAGUGCGCGUCGGACCUCAACCGCCCGCCUAGGUCGGGGCCAGGUAGCAGGAGCGCCGUCUCUCGAUCUAGCUCCCCUCUUCUGUAGGGUACAAAAGGUCGCAGGAGGUGGUUGGUGCCGUUGCACACGCCGCCGACUGACGAAGGAUACCGAUGAACUGCCUGUUGUGAAGGCACCGCCGGCCGCCACUCACGGUGUGGUAGGUUGAAGGUGGGUGUACGCGCACGUCACGUGUUGGCGACGCAACGUCGGUGGAAGGUCCACGAACCCAGAGGGCAGCUCCCGGAGGUAGCCGUCACCAGCAUCAUCGAUGCCCUCGUGUCGACAUCCACCGCGACACCGUAGUAACGAAGACGAUGAUUGACGUCUGGUGAAACAACGUCGAACGUCGGGUGUAGUCCCCCCACUCGUCGAGGGUACCCUCCUCAAGCCCCCGCCGUCACGUGAGGCCACCCUCGUCACCACGUGAGACCAGUACCACGUCACGUGGGGCAAAGUCAUACGGUAUAGUUGUGUAGAAACCGCAACCCGAAAGAUAGUCGAUCACUUUUAUCGAACGAACACCGUUCGACCACACACGAACUUCGUCAGCACACACACACCUACACGUCACGUCAGUCCGCUACACACGUCCAACCCA